Molecule: long non-coding RNA, 862 nt
Filed under: Nicotiana benthamiana
Lineage: Eukaryota; Viridiplantae; Streptophyta; Magnoliopsida; Solanales; Solanaceae
Description: long non-coding RNA (NBEN_LNC032466)
Source: RNAcentral
UCAGAACGAAUAAUCAAAGGAAACACUAAUCUUCACAUAAGAUACUGAAAAAGCAAAAUACAUAUACAGAAAUAUGUAAGCAGAACAAAUCCAAAAUGAAAGAAAGUGAGUCUUGCACUAAAUCUUCACACGCAAAAAAGGAUUGUAAUGGCUGGACUAAAAUGGAAACCUCGAUGGAAUUACAACCCAAACCUCCAAUCUCGUUGGAAUUAAUGACGCUAGUACCAUAGCGAUGGCGAUAUUGAGCUACAGCAAAAUGACACCAAAAUACUAGCUACAGCAAGAUGACACCAAAAUGAAAGAAACCCCAUCUCUCUCACUACAUCUCCAUUUUCUCCAUAGUAGCUAACACACACGAGCAGAGAGAAGAUAUUAAGAGCAUCAGCGCCUGAAGAGAAAAGGGGUCUUCUGGGUUCAUGGGUUGCCCGUUCUUUUGUUUAAGAAGAAGAGCUCAUGGAGGUUUUGUGUCUUAGGGCUUGCGGCUGAAGCUUAAAAUUGAACAACUGGGAGCAGUCUGGUUCGUGGUUUUUCCGGCGAGCUGAGUUGAGGAUGACGACUUCUACUAUAGAGAUUAGGGUUAUGCUUUUUUUGGGUUGAAGAUAGAGGAGUAUGUCCGUAUUUGCUCUAAGUCGUGGAGAAGAUGAAGACGGGGGGGAGGGGGGUCUCUCCAAUGGGUAAAUGUUGGCUGAAAAAGAUGAAGGGGGGAGGGGGUGUUCUGAUCUUGGGGUAUUGCGGUUUCUUGUUUGGUCUCUAGGUUAGCAAGAUUCUAUAGGGCUGUAAAAUGAAGAAGGAGAACUUACAAUUUUAUGGUCCUCCCUGUCACAAACGGUGGAUCUCAAUUAGGUCAACGGCACAAAUAGCC